ACGAACGCUGGCGGCGUGCUUAACACAUGCAAGUCGCACGGGAAGGCCCUGCUUUUGUGGGGUGCUCGAGUGGCGAACGGGUGAGUAACACGUGAGUAACCUGCCCUUGACUUUGGGAUAACUUCAGGAAACUGGGGCUAAUACCGGAUAGGAGCUCCUGCUGCAUGGUGGGGGUUGGAAAGUUUCGGCGGUUGGGGAUGGACUCGCGGCUUAUCAGCUUGUUGGUGGGGUAGUGGCUUACCAAGGCUUUGACGGGUAGCCGGCCUGAGAGGGUGACCGGCAACAUUGGGACUGAGAUACGGCCCAGACUCCUACGGGAGGCAGCAGUGGGGAAUAUUGCACAAUGGGCGGAAGCCUGAUGCAGCAACGCCGCGUGCGGGAUGACGGCCUUCGGGUUGUAAACCGCUUUCGCCUGUGACGAAGCGUGAGUGACGGUAAUGGGUAAAGAAGCACCGGCUAACUACGUG
RNAcentral lists this ribosomal RNA (467 nucleotides) under uncultured bacterium. RNAcentral describes it as "partial 16S ribosomal RNA". It matches the Rfam family "Bacterial small subunit ribosomal RNA", at positions 29 to 507 of the family's 1533-position model. The record is from RNAcentral.